This is a long non-coding RNA of Columba livia (rock pigeon), 17184 nucleotides long. RefSeq lists it as uncharacterized. The transcript has 2 exons. The record is from RefSeq and is a predicted model, not a curated record. NCBI's taxonomy places the organism in Eukaryota, Metazoa, Chordata, Aves, Columbiformes, Columbidae.
GGCGGGCCGCGGGGAUGGGGAGGCCGGGGGCCGGCUGGGGCCAUGAGGGGACGGACGUGGCCCGGCCUGUGGGGGGGUUGUGUGUGGGGUCCCCGGCCGGGAAGGCGGCCCGGCCCCAGGAGUGCGCUCGCCGCCGCUGCUCCCGGCUGCAGCCGGGCGGGGUGGGGAGACGCCGCCCCUGGAUGCGGAGCCUCCCAGGGGAAACACCCGCCGCCAGCCGGGCCUUGACCCCUGCGGGGCUGCUCCGAGCGCCGCUCGGCCCCGAGCGAACCGCUUGGCAUGAGCAGCACCGGAGUGUCCUUGGCCUGAAACCCUGCUCGGCUUAACCCGAAAUGUCAGGCUAAUCCAGCGCUCCUUGGGGGGUUUCCUACCUGGGGGAGAGCAGCAGGCUCAGGCUUUGAAACGCUGAUCUUAUGCCGGGUUUGUUGCUGUUAGAGAGGGCGUGUGUCUUGAAGGAACAACAGUUCCCGUUCAUCGUGCAGCCUUUUUAAUUUGGGCAUGCCCCCGAAGGACAGAGCAAUCCCAGGCAGCCUUUACAGCAGCUUUGUUUAAUGGUUUCCUACUGUUAAGCAGCCUGAUAAUGAGAAACCUCCAAUAGUCUGGAGUGUGCUGACAAAAGAAAACGUGGAUACUUGUGAUAACUCUUAGGAUAAAAGUUUUCUAUCCAGUGUUCUUUAGUUAAGAUUACCGACUACAGGUAUGCGGGUACUAGAGAUCCUUCUCUGCUGCAUGCUUAAAUGAAUUUAUGUUAAAAUGGCCAUGGUGGCUGACUGGUUUAUUCAGCUGAGUAAGUUAUGAAUAAUAAUGUGUGAUGGAGGUGACUUAACUUCUCCAUGGAAUAAGAAUUGGAGGGGAAGGGAGGCGAGGUCAUUGCUCACGAGUAUAUUGUCCCGUUUAUCAGCUGUUCCAUGCAUGUACAGUUAAUUAGGCUUUUAAAGAGCCCUCUUUAAAAAAAAAGCAAAACAAAGGAUUUCCUAAGGGAGGGGGAGGGGCCGACUUACUUCAGUAGAUGCAAAUGUGUGUCUUUAGUCCUACAGACCAGAGCACCAACAUGUAGGGACAGCUGUUUCUCCUUAAUUUCUGUGGGGACCACCACUCUUUGUCCUACACUAACAAACUAAGAGGAUUCACUUCCUGGACUCUUCUGUUGACGUCAGUAAUGCGAUUGCCAACUGAAUAAUUAACCACUUUAUCACAUCUGCCCCGCGAGGCUGCAGCCUGGGGAAUAUUGAUUAUUUGUUUUGUGGUGGGAGCUUUGUAUGUCUUCUGCAAAGUGCAAUCUGGUUUUAUACUCUUGUUUUCAAGCUGAUGGCUUGAACGAGUGUGCACUUACAAACUGUUAAAUGUGAUAGACUGGACUAUGAUGGUACUUCGAGCACUAAAGGAAAUGAUUUGGGGCAGGCCAGAGAAUGAUACACUUUUUCUGUAGCACUGAUGGUGGUUGUGUCUUACUGAUUGAUCCCUCUGUUGUCAUUUUCUGUGUGAUGGAGAGGCCGAUUAUCCAAUUGUAUAUAAAAUCACUUGUUUUAAUUCUAUUUAUUGUUUUCACUGAAUGUGAAAAGGUUACUGACUUGAUGAAAAGUAUAGCUUGCAAUAAAAACAGUGUGUAGUUCUUACUACAGUGUGGGAUUACCCUAGUAUAACAAAGUGCCUAUUCAAUAAAUAAUUGAAAUGUAUGUGAGCUACCAUCUGGUGCUGCAGAGAAGGGAUAAAAGUUUAUAAUCCAAGCUCUUGAUGGUAAGGGGAUGGGCCUAAGUCUGGACUGCUAUAUAUUUGUCUUCCAUCAACAAGGAAUACCGUUAAAACCUAUUACAGUUGAUACACUGUGUUCUUCCUUUUCCUUCAAGCUGUUAAAAACAAAUAAAUGCCAACAACGGGACACCUUUUGUCUGUGUCCUAAUGCCCUCACAGUGUGUUUUCACUGACAAGGAACUUGUUUCUGCCUCUAGCUAAUCAGGAAAAUAUCAUGCCAAACACACUGAUCUUCCUCAUGUCAUGAUAUGCAGUCUUAAUUACAGCCUGGUUCUCUGUUAGAAGGUAUUCUGGAUUGAUGUGCACAAGUUUCGUGUGCUGUUGUGUGUCUGUAGCAGCCUGAGAGCAUAGUUAAAUAUCUGGGAUAUACUUUGAAGAUCACUUUAUCAACUGGAAACAGAAGGAAUUCCUUUUUGACAAAAUGAAGACUUAUCACUGACAAUGGAAAUAAGCUGCCUAGGUAUUAAGGUUAAAUUAAGCUGAGCUAUGUAACAAGCGUUUCUUUACUAUUUUGGAUUUAAAACUGUGUGUGAGGUAUCACACAUGUAAAAUUCCCUUAAAAUGACUCAGUGUGGCUAAUGGACUUGCUUGCAUUCUUAAUUGCCAAGAGAAGACAGGGUUUGGGCUAGGUAGUUGAUGCAGUUUAUUCCUGGCUGUGGGUGCAGAGGAGAUGUGCGGUGUAGCUGCUGGAUGUGGAUAUCUCUGCUCUCUGAUAGCAGCACUUGUAUUCUGGAGCGGCUGAUUGUGGGAGGGGCGAAGUGAGGAGUCCAGGAAAUUAAGUCCCAUGUUUGUCCCAUGAGACUUCUUGCUGUUUGACAUCUGUAGAAGCCUCUCGGCUCACCUGCAGAGGUUGGCGAGCCCCAGAUGGUGAAUCUCAUCACUUCUGCCCAAUGAAUCCCACUGCUGCUUCCUGGCAGUCCUGCCACAGGCUUAUUUCUUCAAAAUCAUCUUCCUAUUUGCUAACCAUAGAAGAGCGUAGGGUGUGGCCCUUCGCCUUGGGGCGGCUUGUGGCUUCCAUCGCAUUAGAAAUGUUGUAAGAAUCUGCCAUUUUAACCUUGGCAAUUGUAUCUUUCCCAUGGUGAAUGGAGCUUUCAUAGGCUAUAUAUUUUGCCUACACUGAAAGUAUAAUACACUUAUCUUUACGCCAUGUGUCUUUGGAGAAGAGCUAGCUGAGCUGCAAGCAAAGAGUUCAAAAGUCCUUUUCUUCUAUUUUGUUUUGUUUAUAACUCCUGUUGAAUAAGGUCUCGCCUAAUUGGUUACCACUGUGUUGUUUAUAUGUUAGAUUUUGAAAUUAUGCUCAGUAUUCUUAGUGGGAAUUUAAUCCAAGUCUGUUAGGUUGCAGAUCCAUCUCUACACAUUCAGAGAGAAUUUCCCAACUCUGUUCUUAGUGUCUUUUAAGCUGUUCCUACGUAUGGUGCCCCUAGAGUGAGAAAUAGAGAGGGAUCCUAAGAGUGAGGAGUCCCAUUUAUUUCAGUUAUACUUGGUCAUUCCUCCCUGAAAGUCGUCAGGGAAACUGGGAUGCUGCAGCCCUUAUGCCUUUGAGGUCAAAUUGCGUGACCAUCUCUCCUAGUCCUUCCAGCACACUAGGGCUGUCAGGAGAGCAACUAUCUGGCAUCUUGGGAGAUGUUGGAACUGGACAGUCCUGAGAAAGCCUGUAAAACAGUCUGUAUGGCCCCAGAAGUCUGUGAAGGUCCUUUCUUUGGUAAAGCUGACCCAGGCCACUAGUGAAGACCACCUAAAGCUAUCAGCAUGCACAGAGGCAGCUGCUUGGAUUGAAACAGUGGACCAUGGUGUUCACCAGUGCUUGGGUAGUGUUGGGUGAUAUUGUCUGUGCACUGCAGAGUCUUAAGAGACUCUUCCUGCAAAAAAUGUGUGCUGUCUUUUGUUUCAUGUGAUGAGGAGACAAGUACAGGAGCACUGAAACAGCAUUGCUGCAGCUCAGGUGUCCGUGCAUCACCUGUCCUUUGGCUCUCAGGUACAGCGUGUUCCUCUUUACAGAGCAGAGCCCCUUGUUUUGUCGUAGUGAGAGAUCUGAGUUGUUCCUAAUCCUGUGCUAGUAUGGCUGCUUGCAGGGCACCUUGCUGGCUGGCACUGCAUUUGCGCUCAUCUGACAUCACCUUGUUUUUCAGGAGUUACCUCAUUUGGCUGUGGCUGGUGCUCACUGCCCCUUACUUAAAGUCAGCAGGGACUCACGUAACCGGCUGCUCCAUUUUUGAACAGCUGCUUGGCAUAGUGUGCAGCCAGUAGGCAAGUAUGUUUAGAGAAAAGACUAACAGGAAUUGCUUUUAUUUGUAUUCAAAGUGCUUUUGGUGCUGCGUAGACUCUCUCGCUUCAGCCUUUGUUUCCUCUGACCCUGUUUAGUACUGCUGGCAUGCUACAGAGGGCAAGAUGGCACAUGUCCCCACAUAGUUCAUUCAGUGUUGUCUCACUCCUGGACUGUGUAUUGGCUAGUCCUUGCUGUGGGAACACUUCAAAACUCAUGUCAGAGUAGUUUAGACUGAUGUGAAAUGCAGUGCUUUUUUCUUUGAAGCAGGUGCAGGGGGUACUUCUGUGGACUGUUUCUCCUGAUGAGUUAUGAGCCAUCAGAGUGUUGGCUUAUCUUCUGCAUUAUUUGUGCAAGGUUUGCUGCUCAGCUGGACUGGUGUUCUGCUUUUGGGUGGUGGGUUUUUGGUUUGGGUGUUGGUGGUUUUUGUCUUGAGAAGAGCUUUAAGUGGGGAGUGAAGCUGUGGGGAGAAGAAAGAUUGCACAAAGAAAGAUUAACACAAAUAGACUGGCUGGGAAGCUGCUACCAAGCCCUUGAAGAUGGUCUGGCAUAACAGGCACUGGAUGCUGUUGUAGUAAGAGCAAUACGUUCUCACUGUGAGCUAGAGGAGGGGAAAAUAUGCAUGCAGAGAACUCAAAGCAACCUCUCUAGCCUCAAGCUGCUUGCUUUUGGGUAUGUAUCUGUUACACUUGAGGAUGGACCAUAGAUGGAAAUAUGGGCAGACAGUUCACCAGAAAGGUCGCUGUUGUGCUGGUGCAGUGAUUCACAAAUUUGAGGUGCUGUAAAGACUGGUACUUCAAGUUUUGCAUCUUGCUGUUGGGGUUGGGGGGGAGCUAUGUGAACUUUGUGAGUAUACUCCCAGACCUGCUUUCUCCUCCUUCCAGUUCUACUUAAAGAAGCACCUUAACCUUCCACAUACAAAUAUCUAAUGAGGGAAGUGAGAACCCUGAAGAAUGGCCUCUCUGUCAGAAGAGUGUAGAGCCUGUUCUCAUGGCCUGAAAGCAGUUGUAUUCAGAAGUGUGGAUGUGAACUUGAGGAGAGAUCUUACCAACCUGCAUUAGAGCAUUGUUGAAGCUAGCUGCAGGGUAGACCUAGUCCUCAGACUGAUAUACUAGAGUAAGUGCUACGUAAGGAUGGGGGCAUGAUGUGUGGCUGGGAGUGCUGCUUGGAUAGGAAACAGAAACUGUCAUUAAGUAUUUUUGAGAUGACCGUAGAGUUGUUAGGCUUUAAGGCUUGCUUAUGAGGAUCUUUUCUUUGACCUUUUUGGGUUACACCAGGAAAAACUGUCCCUUGAUAACAUGUCAUAUCUCUUUACUUGAGGGCUUAUGUUCUUCCCUUCUUUCCCUUUGGUACUCCUCUCCCUUCUUGCAGAAGUACAUGCAGAAAGCCCAAAAGGGACCUCGAGGUCUGCUGGUUUGUAUAAUGUCCUCUAUGCAGUGAGUGAUAAGCCUUUUGGGCACGUGUGCAAAGUGAGCGUGGUUGGGUAAUGAAGAUAGCCAAACAAGAGAACUGAGUUUCAGCUUCUGUCCUGAGUUCCUCUGCUGUCGUCCUCUAUCCACCAAAGCCUGUUACAAUCCCUUAUACUAGAGCUACUGGCAGGAGGGUGGGGCAGGGUGAAGCCACAGGUGCCUUGCAGAAGUUCUGGAAAUGCUGGUGGUGGCCAUGGUUUCUUUGUGCAUGGUGCAGUGUGGAUGCAGCUGGAGACCUGCUCUCUGAAGGCUUUCCUGUGAUCAGAGAUGGGGCACUGUAGCUUGGGUUGCCCUUGCUAAUGAAGUCUUCGGUCAUCUGGCAGAAGUGUGCAAGCAUGGCUGCUGGAUUCUGGUCCCCAGAAUUCCCUGCUGUCACAUAAACUGGUUUUGUUCUUUUGAAAAAUAUAUAUAUUAGGAUUAAUUAAUGUUGGAGUAGCCCACACUGCCAUGUUAGCUUUGAUAUUAUAGCAUCGUAGUCAGGGCUGGUGGUCUGCAGGUGUGCAGUCCAAAGCUUGCUGCUGUGUGUAUGGUGGACCCUUUAUAGUACAUCUGUUCUAAUCUGUUAUUUUUAGGAUGAGGCAGUAUCUUUUGACUUUUUCUGUAAAACUUCAUGCUAUGAAACAUUUUCGCUGAAUGCUGCAGUCGUGUUUUGACAGUGGGAAGGUAAUGUGGUCUGGAGGAUGGGAGAUACAUUGGCGUGUGGUAUGAAAAUGACAGCUGUCCGGGGUGAAGCUGGUCUGUUGUCCUGUAGAAGGAAGUCGGUAUUGCUUUUCCUCUGUGGAUGAAGUUACUAAUAAACAGUCUUCACUGAGGGCUUGAGGAUUUAUGUGGUAUGUUAAAGGCUGGGACCUAUAAUUUGUAUUUUAAUUUUUUUAAUGUAUGAAAACUCAGAAAGGGGUAAAUAAGUCAUUGAUAUAUUUGCAUUCAUAUAGGAAAAAAGUGUGCAUCUAGUAGUUUCUCACAGUACAUGAUAAGGUAUAGAAUACAGAAGGAAGGUUUCAUAACUAUUCAUAAAUCUACCAUUUUUUCUGACUUAUUUCACUUAGAAAUCUAAAUUAUUUUCAUGUUGCUUUUUCUUACAUAAUAUUAAGAUGUAAUAUUUUGGAAAAAAAAAAACAAACACACACCUUAUUUUACUCCAUAAAACUUCUGUGGUUGACACAGUUAUACAGUAUCAGUGCAAAUGGCUUGGUUUAGUCAGCAGAUUCAGUGCAAUGCGCUUUUUUUAUCAAAUGAAGUUGAACUAACCUUUUUUUGCAAAUAAUUCACAUGUGGGAGUGAGUCAGUUUUUUCUACACCUACUAGAAACAAGUGAUUUUAACUGUGUGAGUCAGAACUGAAGAGACUUGUUUCAUUAGCUUUUUUUAUAGCAAGUUGCUUUUACUUUAUGGUUAUAUAUUAAUGUUUGGGGUUUUAGAAAUGUGGAUCUGUAGCUGAGAUUAGUUGGGAAUGUUAAACUACUACAGUUUCUUCACAUUUAUGAAACUUACAUUUUUUCCCUUGCUUGUAAUUUGAGGCAAUUCAAGUAAGCUGUUUUUAGAUGGGUAUUACAAAGCAAGAAUUACAAUGCUUACCUAAACAAUCACAAAUUUAUCUGAGCUGUUAACAGAAUAUAGUGCCUAGGAUUAGGAAAAAAAUUUAUAGGUUCAUCUUUUUAAUUACCCAUGUCUGAAAAGAUUAAUAGGAUGAUGGACCACAGGCAAAUCUGUUUAGAAAAAUAGAAGGCCUUGUUAAAGCUUUUUACUGUAUUUUUGCCUUUGAUAAUGCUUUAAACAGAGUUGAGAUUCAUUUUCUAAGCCUUUCCUAUGGUACGCUUGAGAAUUCCAAUAUAUUCUUGAUGUAGUUACCAAAGAACUUGUAUCAUGUGCACUAAUAUAUCACACUGAAGCUCUAGUAUUUUUUUAUUUUUUAAGAAAAGGGAUUUAAUUUUAAAAGCUUUUCCAGGUCUAAGAAUUUCUAAGUACAUUUGGUCUGUAGUUCAGUGUGAUCUGUUCAUUUUAGCUGUCUCCUAUGCUAAAAUAUUCCACUCAAUUUUUCUCAUCAGUGUAUGCAGAUUGCCAGAGUGCAAGCUUUCAUUUAUAAGGAUCUUUGUUCGCUAUAAUGAAUGUAGCUUUCUUCAGUAGGAAACUACACACUGUUUUCUUAAGCCCUGAUUUUGCAUAGACCUCAGUAAUCACGUCUGUAGAUAUACUUAGAGUGCAUUCAGAUUAAGUGCGUGCAUCCAUCAUGGCCAGCUGAGGCCUUAGGCACCCUGAAGUGCCUGAGAUCUUAAUUUCUGUCAUUCAUGUCAUCAGGGUCUUAAUGCUGAAACCUGUUAUUACUUAACCACAGCCCAGAGCUUCAAGUGUCACUAGUAGCUCUGCAUGCCCAAUCUGAGACCUCUAUAAAGGAGUCUGAGCUUUGUUUAUUAAUCAGGUGUGUGUUAAUUAAGGCUAAGGUAUAGUUCUUAAUUUGCAUAAGUGCAGUGCCAUUGAAGGAGGUGAUACUGCCCCUCUGCUCUGGUGAAACCCCACCUGGAGUUCUGCGUCCAGCUUUGGAGCCUCAGCACAGGAAAGACAGAGACCUGUUGGAGAGGGGCCGGAGGAGGCCACAGAAAUGAUGAGAGGGCUGGAACACCCCUCCUAUAAGGACAUGCUGAGAGAGUUGGGGUUGUUCAGCCUGAAGAAUAGAAAACUCCAGGGACACCUUAUUGUGGCCUUUCAGUACUUAAAAGGAGCCUGUAAGAAAGAAGGGGACAGACUUUUUAGCAGGGCCUGUUGCCAUAGGAAAGGGGGUGAUGGUUUUAAACUAAAGGAGGGGAGAUGCAGGCCAGACAUUAGGAAGAAAUUUUUUUACAGUGAGGGUGCCGAGACCCUGACCCAGGUUGCCCAGAGAGGUGGUGGAUGCCCCAUCCCUGGAGACAUUCAAGGCCAGGCUGGACGGGGCUCUGAGCAACCUGAUCUGGGUGAAGAUGUCCCUGCUCAUUGCAGGGGUUGGACUAGAUGACCUUUGAAGGUCCCUUCGAACCCAAACUAUUCUGUGACCUGAGGAAGGAUGAUGUUUCUAGUAAAUGCAUGGUAAUACUUCUGGGGCAUCUGAAACCUUCAUCCCACUCUGUCUCUGAUUCCCCUCCUGGAUCUCUGGAAGCAGAGAUCCACGUGUACCUGUCACUCCCUCAUGACAGGGGUCAUCCCCAUUGUCUGUAUGCCUUUGAAAUUCUGCUGCUGUUGCAGCAUGACUUCUACAACCUUAAUUUUGCACAUCCUUCCUCAAAAGCUGGCUUCUUCACAGAGUUUUUUUUUCUGUCCACUGCCAGCUUUAUUGCUGCCCGCGUGACUUGGAUUAUCAAUACUGAAAGCUGGAAUGUUCCCAGUGUCUUUUAUUUUACUGUAAUUAAGGCAGAGUAGAAACAGCAGGAGAGUGACUUUAGGCGUGAAGAUCCUAUUACCAUUUUGAAAUAUGUUCCCAAAGGUUUGCUUUUUAAGAUGCAUGUUUAGUCUUCAAAUUUAGCUCCUUGUCCAUUCCUAGUGCUGAGAGAUGAUGCCUAGUGUGUGUGUGUGCUCUGCAGACUUUGUUCUGCAGCCCCGACUGUUCUUGGGCUGUGGGUCUUAAGAAGAGUAGCAAGUUCAUUUAUUUUUUUCUGUGGCUAUGUAUACUUGAGUAAUAAGUUUGUACUGAAAAUUUUAAAUUAAGGAGUUGUGUUUUUGUUAUCUAGUCUGUGAUCAUUUGUGCUGUGUCUGAGUGAAACUGCAACGUAAUAUCAGUCCGUGCUUUCUUUUUAGUUUGCGUGUUCCUUAAGGCAAGGGUGAGAUCUCACUGAGCACUCGCUAUCAGUGGUUCCUUUUAGGAUGCCUUUUUUGCCCUGCAACCCUCUCAAGUUACUUGCCUGAUAAAAAGGAAGCUACAUUUUUUGUGAUUCAGAACCUCAUACUAUAUGACUUAUUGCUGGAGGCUGGGAGAAAAAAUUUUUAAAUGUACAAAUGGCUAAAAGUGAUAUAAAGGUCCUAAUGGAAUAACUGGUAACUAGUAACUUCUAGAUGUUGAGCUAUAAAUGCAGAUUGAAAGCUGGAGUCUGUGGUAUUUAAUCUUUCUGCCUUUUAUGGGUAAUAUGGUAUUUUUCUGAAACGCAUGACACUUCAUCUUUCAGAGCAGGCUUUCUGAGAAGUUGCAGAUGAAUUCGUCUGUUGUAUCACAGGGAAGAAGCACAAACAUUUUUCUUCCAGACCAGCUUUAACUAGUUGUAACAAAAUGCUGUAGUCCUGUAGCAUGGUGUUGCUGCAUAGAAGAAUUAAGUUUGUUGUAACUUACUCUCUUAUGUAACUGUAUAUUUCCAUUGCUAGUAAGUUCAGCCUUUGGUCUCCUCAACAGUUAUUAUUUAUGUUGGGAACAACGACAAUAUCAAACAGCUGUUUUUAAACUGUGGCCUGGUACUCCAGAUAAAACAAUAGAGGAAAACAUACAGUGGAGAUACCUAACUAGAGGGAGUAUCUGGCCCGCAGACUGUCUUUAUCUUACCCCUAGAAGUAUUUACUGGUUAUUAAGGAAACUGAGCUGUGGUUAUCGCUCUGUGUGUGUUAUUGCAGACCAGCAGGAUUUACUGCAUUGGAUAUAGUGCUGUACCAGCAGGGCUGGGCUGGUCAGGAAUGACCCAGGGAGUCAAAACCCAGUCAUGUCUAUGGCUGUGGCUAGAAGUUACCAAUGCUUGUGCAUCCUGAAGGUGACUACCUGAUGUGAAAUGCAAAGGCAAAAGACCUGACACUUUGAAAAGGAGGAGGAGGGCAGAUUUAAUUUUAAAACAUUUCAGUGACGGAGCAGCUUUUAGUGCUCAGAGGAAAGGGCUUUGCAGUGAUUAUCCUCAGUGUUAAAGGUGUGCAUGUAUUUGAGCGGCUCAAGCCAGGAGCAGAAGUGCCCUGGUUGAUUUUGACAGAAUCGGAGCUACAGGUAAUCUGGUUAUAAACUUCCUGUUCUUACCGGUAGUAUUAACCAUUGUAAAGAUUUACUGUUUACUGUUUCAGCCACUUUUUGAGGGCGGGGAUAGCAAAGAUUGCAUUCUGUACUUUACCUUUUCCAUACCAGCAUUAUUUUUUCUUCACACCAUAAAGCCUCAUGAAGUUCAGCAUGACAAGUGCAAAGCCUUGCACUGUGGAGUUACGUAAGUUGGGGAAUGGCCAGCUAGACAGCAGUCUUGCAGAAAAAGAUUUGGGGAUCCUGGUAAACAAUUAGUUGAAAAAGUCCAUAGUACAUCAUUGUAGAAACAGAGGCUGCCUGUGUACUGGACUGCAUCAACAAGAAAAUAGCCAGCAGGUUGAGGGAAGUGGUUAUUCUGCUCUUCACAGCACUUGUGAGGCCAUUUCUGGAGUUCUCGGUCUUCCAGUACAGAAAAAACACUGAGAAACUGAAGUGAGUCCCGCAGAGGAGCAGUGGUGUGGUUGGGGGCCUGCAGCACAUGCUGUGCAAGACAAGCCAGAGAUACCUGGGGUUGGUGAGCAGGGAGGAGGGGAGCCUGGUCAUGAUCCUCAACUGCCAGAUACUGGGUUAGGGAGAACACAGAGGCAGAUGCUUCUCAGGUGCACUGCCAUGGAGAGGCAAUGGACACAGGCACGGAGCAUUCUGACUGUGUAAGGGCAAAAAGUAUUCCUACUAAGGGUGGCCAGGCACUGGAAGAGACACCCAGAGAGCUGACAGUCUCUCCAUCCCAGGAGAUAAACCUCACCUGGGAAAGGCCUCGAGUGACCUGAUUGAACUUUGAUGUUAUCUCAGCUUUGAGGUUGGACUCUGAUCUACAGAGAUCCCUUCUAAACUAAAAUUAUUCUGUGAUUAUUUUUUUUUUAUGUUAGCAAUUUAUUUAACAUCACAAUUCUUUUAAUAGAAAAGUUGUUCUUCCUACUUCUCAGAAUGAAAAGAUGUGAAAUAGAAUCUUCUUGUUGUAGAUGAAGUAGUUGACAUAACUUGUGUAAUUUUAUUGUUUUUUGCUCAUCUCAGGUGUUUAUACUGAUUAGUUGGCAUUUUACCACAUAGUCUGAAUGUAAGUAUUGACAAGCCUUUAAGUAAAUUUUAGGCUUGUAAAUGAUGGGAAACUAAAUUUUGUUCAUGUUCUUCUGCCAUGUAUUUAAUAAAAGCACCAGUUUCCUUGUUCCUGGAUGAGAAUUGCCAGAACAGGUUUCAAGAACUUUGAACCUAUGUUUUAUGUCUAGUGCUCUUUCCCAAGUGUGGUUUCCUUAUGUCUAGUUGUUAACCUUGACAGCAGUUGAAGUAUUUUAAAGCUUUAGUUCCAUGGAGCUGUCAGAAGAGCCUGCAAUCCCUGCAUGACUGUGAGCCUGAAUCAUCCCUUAUGAAAAAUACAGGUUUAGCUGUUCUGCUAGAGAUGUUCUCAUGUCACAAAGGGAUCUCUAACUUGUAGGCUUCCUAAUGUCCUUAUAUGUAACGAUAUAAGGAACCUGACUAAGCAGUUGCUAACAACAGAGUGAAACAAAUCUUCCUCAUGGUUGUAAAGAUCUAAUGGGAGAUACUGUCGAUUUUUGUUUCAUUUGUAAAAUAAGAGCUCGUAUGACUUACAUGAAGUUGGACUUGCAACAUGGUUUUAGUGCUGAUAUUCUUUCUUGAUAGUAGUGCACUUAGCAAACCGAAACCUACAACAAAUGCAGUGUUUCAAAAUCAUAUUGAUAUAUGGAAAAUAGCAUAGGAAGUGCUAUCAAUAAUAAGGGUAACAAUAUACGAAUGGGACAAAAAACCAAGAACUGAUCCCCUUGUUAGUGGUGUGUUGUAAUUGUUAAUAUGAUAUCCUAAGUGAGCCUUGACUUUCCAUACGAAGAAUUUAUAUCUGUGUUUUUGAGUACGCUGCUUGCAGCAAACUCCUGAGGAAAUAAGAUUUUUCAGAAUUCUCAUGAUUCCUGAAUGCCUGGAAGUCUGGUAGACAUCCUUGUCAGAGCACAUACACCGUCAGCUAUGUCAUGAAGAUAUUCAUUGACAGAACUAUAUCAUGUGAUGGUCCAUUGCCCUUCUGGGGCAAAGACUGUCUGUAUGUAGGGAAUUCAUAACGUUGAUUUUUCAGAAUAAACUGUUCAAAGUGUUGCACAGUUGUUUCAGAUGCUGUGGUUGUGAGGCCUCAGCUUUGUUUGUGUUUGGGGUAUGGAGGUUGUUCACGCUGUGUUCUAGUUUCGGUGUAUUGCUUCCCUCUUGGGAGGUACCUGCGCACUGUGCAACUACCUUGGGGGAAAAACAGAGAGUGAAGUAAUGGUAAUAACUUCUUUCUUUGGAUUGAGUCUUGCUGCCUAAAACUACUGAGAAAUAUCAUCCCCUUCCUCUCAUGUGUGUGAUUUCCUCUUUGAUUUCAUCGUUCAGACUUUACUUCUUAUUUCCUAUUUGUAUUUAGAGAAGGCACUUUGCAGCAAUGUCUUCAGAACAGCGAUUCAAGCUUGUGCACACAUUGCUGCGAUGAUCUUUUGCGUCAAUGGCUGUAAUAUGUCAUUGUGCGCAUUGGUAAUAAUACCUCUUACUUCAAGUAUAUGCUUGAUAGCUACAGAAUAAAUAAUACAGAGACUUUACUGGAAAAUGUGCUCCCGUAAUUUACCGUCAGAGCUGUAUGGGGACUGUGAAAUGGGUGACAGCUGGUAGAAGAUAAUGGAUUAUCUUUCUGCAGGAGAGAAGCAUGGGCAAGACCUACUUCUUACUUCAAUCUCCUCACCCUCAUCUCUCCCUCCCCCCUCAUGUCCCAUAUAACACUUAAGAACCUGUCCUCUACGUUUUCUGGGGACUUAGGUGGAGACUGUUAGCUAGCACUUCUGUGUUCAAAAAAACAAAAAGAUUAAUUGGCAAGGAAAUAAGUUUAUCUGUGCAUAACAAUUCAUGGAAGAGGAAAUCAACACUGUCUACUUGUAAUCUUUUAACACUUGCCCAGAAAUAGAUUGUUGAGGAGUCAUAGUAUUUGAAUUAAAAUUUGCAAUAUUGGAAUAAAAAAAAUAAGCAGGUACACCAAUUAGAAAGGACUGGAAAAAGCAUCACUUAAAGUCCUAAAUAUUGAUCAAUACACUACAAACAGUGGUCAGGCCAGACAUCUUUAUCACUUCUGGAAGUACCGGGUAGCCUGUACUUUAAAGAAAACCCUAAGUUGAGCCUGUGUACCAAAAUGUUUUUUAAGUAAGAUUUUGAAGGAGAGAUAGAACUGAUUAUACUUGAAGAAAAAAAUGUUCACAAGUGAUAACUGAAAGAUUCUUACUAGACUUUUCAGGGGGUUGAUGUGUUAAAAUAUGUUCAUGUAGGACAGAUGAGGCUCCAAAUUGACUUAGUUAUUUGAAAAUGCAUUUCAUAUAGAAUGGUUCUUCUGAAAAGGCAAACUUAAGUUUUGAUUUCAUGCAAUACAGUUGUAAACGUUCUUUUUACUUCCUUUAAAAUAAAACUGAAGAGACAGGGCCAGCAACUGCACAAACUACUCAAGUAUUGUAAGAUAUCUUAAAAUAAUUUAGUACAUUUUUGUUCCUGUGUAAGAGUAGCUACUGGUACAGUGUGAACACUGUAAUAGAAAUCAUGACAAAGUGACACUUGCUGCUCAUGGAAAUCAUACAGUGAGUAGUUCAACACAUAGCUGUUCCUGAUACUUUUUUUGCAAAGAUUUUGUGGAGUUAGAUUUUUUUAGAGUGAUGCUAUGAAUUUUGUUUUAGAAUUCAAAUUAUACAGGAAACAAGAGUUAAGCUUCAAGAAAUAAUGAUAGAAGUGAAAUUGCCUGUCUGUUAGGGUAUAAGCAUUAGGAUGGUUCCCAGAAGAACAGUCUUCAGGACCUUCAACUCCCUUAUGGAAGACCUGUACAAUAAAAAUGCAGGCUUUAUAAGACCAUACUUCCUUCCCCCGAGUGCUUCAUGGUGUCUCUGUCCAUUGGCACAGGUUUGUGUUGAACCAGAUUGAAGCCUGCAUGUUACUUAAAAGGCCAUGAAACUACUGAGAGAUUUAAAAAUCCAUGUCCUUGCUGGAUUCACAGUGGCAAUCCAAAGAUAGAAUGAUGUGUUACUAAACAAGCAGUCCUGAGCACCUUUUCCUGUAGGUUAAUAAAAAAAAAAGGAAAAAAGCCAUAAGUGGCAUAAAUACUGAGAAUCUUUAGAGAUGAAAAAGAGGAGAUGACAUCUCUUCCAGAUUUCUUUCCAUUAGAAAAUUCCAAAGAAGUUCAUGGAACAAAAGGAUUGCGUAGCCUCAGCUCCACAAUUCUAGCAUCAAAAAUGGAACCAGUGCAUCUGAACUACAGUGCCAAAGAUGAAAAGUUUGACAGUCUUUAAAAGACCGUGUUUUGGGACUGACUGGUUUUUUGAAGUAAGUGCAAAUGGAAAAUAUUACUUAAGAGCUAAACCAAUCACUGAAUAGGCAAACUAGCCAAGGUUCACUUAGAUGACACUGGAGAUAAAUUAGUAAAGGAAAACACUAAAUUCUGUGUGGAAAAAGAGGAGAGACAAAUGGCGUAUAGCUAAAAUGUUGUAUAAGGAAGUAGAGGGGCAGUCAUUUGACCUUUCUCUGUAAAUCGUCGACUUCAGUGUCUAUACUAGUUUGCAGUUACAUUGCAACAGCCUAAAGUAUUUUGAAAAUUGGCAGAAAUUCCUUGUUCUGCUUGUGGUCUCCUCAGAGGCCAUGUACUGCGUCAGAUGAUUUGUGGAAGUUAAUGCAUUUUUGUUGGUUCCUACUCUGGAAGGGCAGAAUUCUGAAAGCACAUUUGUGCUGGUAAGGUUUUCCAACAGCAUCUGUACUGGCUUGCAGGUGCUUACCUGCGUGUUGCACUGGAGCAUCCAAACCUUUGGUUAUUUCCAAGUAUGAGGAAAGGAAGAGGUUGGAAGCCAACAGAAUGGAGCCUGAGGUAUAGAUGAAGAUUUGAGAUUGCCAGCCUACUACAAGCUUGUUCUGGAUGUGCUGGUAUUUGAUUUUCUCUUUCCAAACCAAAACACCUGUCUAGAUGGUCUACAUAUGAGGAAGGAAAAGGAGUUCUUUACUUAAAUGUGUGGAAAUAAAUCUUAGGGUGAAAGGAUUAUGAAUAUAAUGCUUAUUAAACAAAGGUGGUGUGUGGAUAAUUUUACUCUUAAAUUCAAGUAAAGAGAGCUGAAAAGUUUUGUUAAAAUGUUAAGCCUAGAAGUGGAAGAUUCUCUCUGUUCUGCAUCUGAUAUAAAUAUGUUGUUGGGAGGAUCCCCACUUGCCUACCUUGAAAAUCUGAGGGGCGAGGUGUAAAGGUGUGGUAUUUACAACUGUGGGCGUGAUGAUUGAAAUGAUUUUCAUAUUUUAAUAGUAGUAAUUUUGGUAUCAACUGAGGACCGCAAACAGAUUUUUCUUUCCUGCUGGCUUCAAACAUAUGCAAGAAGGAGGGAGAAGCUAGAACCUGGGGAGCUUGGGCUGCUGCUGGUCACACUGGGGUGCGCAGUAACGGGAGCUCACCUGGCAGCUGCCUGGACAUCAGCACUAUGGCAGGAACCUCUGCAGCAACCGGGAUGCUGUGAUGGCCUUUGCAUGGGCAGCUCGUCCCACCUCGGGCUGCGCUACUGAAGAUGACGACUGCUGAACAAGAGCUGCACUCCCUUACCCUGCUUGCUAGCGCUGGUUUAUCAGCCAUUUCUGACCCUUCAGUGCCGAUGAUUCGGUUUGAUAAACUACAGGAUGGUAGUUUCAUUAUGUAUCUUGGUUGGUUAGUUUUUGAUGGUUUAACGAGCAGAAUUGAAUCCGUGAGGUGAGACCAGCUGGAUUUGUUACAGGUGAUUGAAGGAAGGGAGCAGUUCUGUCAAACUGCCCCUCUGGUCCCAGCGAUCCGCCCCAGUUGUGUCACUCAACCACAUCUUCACUCUGAAUUUGUAAACAGAGAAAAGGGUUACCUCACAAUGUGGAUUUCUCUCCUACCACUCUAAGUGCAUUUGUGUAGGUGCUUUGUUAUUAAUAGAAACCCCUAACCUUUGAAAUAAAGGGGGUGGCAUGUGGUAAAUAUAGCACCAAUGUAAAAUAUGAAUUGUUCUGUUACAUAAUGCAUGUAUUAAGUUUUUAGUAACUUGAGAGAACACCUUCAUAUAUCUGGAGAAAACAAAAGAUGUGUGUUUACUGUAAAUAAUUGAUAAAAUGGUUAUGCUGCUCGUCUUGCUAGGUUUUACUUUUAAGAUGAAAUAAGGCGUGCAGUUAGAAAACCAGAACUUUCCUCGUACAUUGCUGUAAGUUGUAGCUUCUUAAUUAAUGUAAAUGUCUGUAAGCUUAUAUCAGCACAGUAUGGUCAUCAGAUUGGAAUUAUUUUAUUUCCUAGCAAGGUGUGCAAGAUAUGCUGGGUCUGAUGAAAUUCAGAUUCACGCCUAUGUUCAUGAAAUUUGAGUGAGGUCAAAUUUGAGGUUUUCUUAAUCUCUAGUUUGCCACUUAUUUUUCAGAUAGUUUCAAUAUUGAAGAGUUUUUCUAAGAAGUAAUAAUUCUCAAACUGUUCUAUGAAAACAAAUCUGCUUUUUAGAUUAUUCAUCAUGCAGUAGAAUAAGUGGAUUUUAGCAAUAUUUACAACUUUGUUAUGGAAUGAAAGAAAUUGAAUCAUUGAAAUUCUCCUGUUUGGAACAUGCUAAUUCAUGUAGAAAAAUGAAACAAUUUUUCCAUUACUGACGUGCUUCAAUAUGUGAUCUCCAUUUGCUGUGGUUUAAGUGGUCUCUCCAAUACAUGCAAAAUGUGGCCCUGGAGUUAGGAGUACAGAAAAAUUUGGGUGCCAAUAAGAUGACAUUAAACAGAGAUUGUAUUCUA